AAAAAUAAAUAAAAAUAAUACAGUAUAAGAAGUUGAAAACAUUGGCUAUAUGUUUGGGACGAGUUCUACUGAACCGAAUUUUAAGUUCCACUUGUUACGCCUCGAAAUGCAGGCGUUGUAUAAAAGACGUGGAAAUCUGUGAUUUGCCGUUGUAAACUGACUAGAGGGACACCACGUCUAAAACUCCCCCGGGACUUUAAUUAAUUAUUUCUUUUCAUUGACUCAUUGUAUUGGUUGCCGCUGUCGUCGUGUUGCUGUCCUACAUGGUUAAGUUCCCUACCGGACCUUUCUAUAAGGAGGAUGUUAUAUUCGCGUUUUUAUGAAAUACAAAACAACGGCG
This is a non-coding RNA of Paramuricea clavata, 340 nucleotides long. The record is from the annotation of a GenBank genome assembly. NCBI's taxonomy places the organism in Eukaryota, Metazoa, Cnidaria, Anthozoa, Malacalcyonacea, Plexauridae.